RNAcentral lists this ribosomal RNA (1416 nucleotides) under uncultured bacterium. RNAcentral's name for it is "bacterial SSU rRNA". It matches the Rfam family "Bacterial small subunit ribosomal RNA". The record is from RNAcentral.
AGGGUUUGAUCAUGGCUCAGAACGUACGCUGGCGGCACGCCUAACACAUGCAAGUCGAACGAAGUAGCAAUACUUAGUGGCAGACGGGUGAGUAACAUGUGGGUAUCUGCCCUUUGGCCUGGAAUAACACGAGGAAACUUGUGCUAAUACCGGAUAAGUCUUUACAGAGAAAGCUUUAUGCACCAUUGGAUGAGCCCGCACUUGAUUAGUUUGUUGGUGGGGUAAUGGCCUACCAAGACUGUGAUCAAUAGCUGAUUUGAGAGGAUGAUCAGCCACAUUGGGACUGAGACACGGCCCAAACUCCUACGGGAGGCAGCAGUGGGGAAUCUUGCACAAUGGAGGAAACUCUGAUGCAGCGAUGCCGCGUGAGUGAAGAAGGCCUUUGGGUUGUAAAGCUCUUUCGUCGGGGAAGAAAAUGACUGUACCCGAAUAAGAAGGUCCGGCUAACUUCGUGCCAGCAGCCGCGGUAAUACGAAGGGACCUAGCGUAGUUCGGAAUUACUGGGCUUAAAGAGUUCGUAGGUGGUUGAAAAAGUUGGUGGUGAAAUCCCAGAGCUUAACUCUGGAACUGCCAUCAAAACUUUUCAGCUAGAGUAUGAUAGAGGAAAGCAGAAUUUCUAGUGUAGAGGUGAAAUUCGUAGAUAUUAGAAAGAAUACCAAUUGCGAAGGCAGCUUUCUGGAUCAUUACUGACACUGAGGAACGAAAGCAUGGGUAGCGAAGAGGAUUAGAUACCCUCGUAGUCCAUGCCGUAAACGAUGUGUGUUAGACGUUGGAAAUUUAUUUUCAGUGUCGCAGCGAAAGCGAUAAACACACCGCCUGGGGAGUACGACCGCAAGGUUAAAACUCAAAUGAAUUGACGGGGACCCGCACAAGUAGUGGAGCAUGUGGUUUAAUUCGAAGAUACGCGCAGAACCUUACCAACACUUGACAUGUUCGUCGCGACUUUAAGAGAUUAAAGUUUUCGGUUCGGCCGGACGAAACACAGGUGCUGCAUGGCUGUCGUCAGCUCGUGUCGUGAGAUGUUGGGUUAAGUCCCGCAACGAGCGCAACCCUCACUUUUAGUUGCCAUCAUUUAGUUGGGCACUCUGAAAGAACUGCCAGUGAUAAGCUGGAGGAAGGUGGGGAUGACGUCAAGUCCUCAUGGCCCUUACGUGUUGGGCUACACACGUGCUACAAUGGUAUCUACAACAGGAAGCAAAACGGCGACGUUAAGCAAAUCCUUAAAAGAUACCUCAGUUCGGAUUGCACUCUGCAACUCGAGUGCAUGAAGCUGGAAUUACUAGUAAUCGUGGAUCAGCGUGCCACGGUGAAUGCGUUCCCGGGUCUUGUACACACCGCCCGUCACACCAUGGGAGUUGGUUCUACCUUAAGGCAAGGUUUAAAACCCUUGACCACGGUAUAGUCAGCGACUGGGGU